AUUGAACGCUGGCGGCAUGCCUUACACAUGCAAGUCGAACGGCAGCACGGGUGCUUGCACCUGGUGGCGAGUGGCGAACGGGUGAGUAAUACAUCGGAACAUGUCCUGUAGUGGGGGAUAGCCCGGCGAAAGCCGGAUUAAUACCGCAUACGAUCUACGGAUGAAAGCGGGGGACCUUCGGGCCUCGCGCUAUAGGGUUGGCUGAUGGCUGAUUAGCUAGUUGGUGGGGUAAAGGCCUACCAAGGCGACGAUCAGUAGCUGGUCUGGGAGGACGACCAGCCACACUGGAACUGAGACACGGCCCAGACUCCUACGGGAGGCAGCAGUGGGGAAUUUUGGACAAUGGGCGAAAGCCUGAUCCAGCAAUGCCGCGUGUGUGAAGAAGGCCUUCGGGUUGUAAAGCACUUUUGUCCGGAAAGAAAUCCUUUGCCCUAAUACGGUCGGGGGAUGACGGUACCGGAAGAAUAAGCACCGGCUAACUACGUG
RNAcentral lists this ribosomal RNA (486 nucleotides) under uncultured bacterium. RNAcentral describes it as "partial 16S ribosomal RNA". It matches the Rfam family "Bacterial small subunit ribosomal RNA", at positions 30 to 507 of the family's 1533-position model. The record is from RNAcentral.